Molecule: non-coding RNA, 31 nt
Filed under: Mus musculus (house mouse)
Lineage: Eukaryota; Metazoa; Chordata; Mammalia; Rodentia; Muridae
Source: RNAcentral
UAGAAUCAGCAGAAGAAAUGCUACUCCGCCA